Molecule: transfer RNA, 73 nt
Filed under: Echinococcus granulosus
Lineage: Eukaryota; Metazoa; Platyhelminthes; Cestoda; Cyclophyllidea; Taeniidae
Description: transfer RNA-SeC
Rfam family: tRNA
About the family: Transfer RNA (tRNA) molecules are approximately 80 nucleotides in length. Their secondary structure includes four short double-helical elements and three loops (D, anti-codon, and T loops).
Source: RNAcentral
GGACUUGUGGCCUAUUGGAUAAGUCGUCUGCCUUCAAAUCAAAAGAUCGCAUGUUCGAGUUCUGCCAGGUUCG